GACGAACGCUGGCGGCGUGCUUAACACAUGCAAGUCGAACGGAAAGGCCCCUUCGGGGGUACUCGAGUGGCGAACAGGUGAGUAACACGUGAGUAACCUGCCCUUGACUUCGGGAUAACUUCAGGAAACUGGGGCUAAUACCGGAUAGGAAUCCUUGCUGCAUGGUGGGGGUUGGAAAGCUUCGGCGGUUUUGGAUGGACUCGCGGCUUAUCAGCUUGUUGGUGGGGUAGUGGCUUACCAAGGCUUUGACGGGUAGCCGGCCUGAGAGGGCGACCGGCCACAUUGGGACUGAGAUACGGCCCAGACUCCUACGGGAGGCAGCAGUGGGGAAUAUUGCACAAUGGGCGGAAGCCUGAUGCAGCAACGCCGCGUGCGGGAUGACGGCCUUCGGGUUGUAAACCGCUUUCAGCAGGGGCGAAGCUUGUGGUGACGGUACCUGCAGAAGAAGCACCGGCUAGCUACGUG
This 465-nucleotide ribosomal RNA is filed under the name uncultured bacterium. RNAcentral's name for it is "partial 16S ribosomal RNA". It matches the Rfam family "Bacterial small subunit ribosomal RNA", at positions 28 to 507 of the family's 1533-position model. The record is from RNAcentral.